CCUACGGGAGGCAGCAGUGGGGGAUAUUGCACAAUGGGGGGAACCCUGAUGCAGCGACGCCGCGUGGGUGAAGGAGUGCUUCGGCAUGUAAAGCCCUAUCGGCAGGGAAGAAGCAAGACGGUACCUGACUAAGAAGCCCCGGCUAACUACGUGCCAGCAGCCGAGGUAAUACGUAGGGGGCGAGCGUUAUCCGGAUUCACUGGGGUUAAAGGGAGCGUAGACGGCCAUGCAAGCCAGGGGUGAAAGCCCGGGGCACAACCCCGGGACUGCCCUUGGAACUGUGCGGCUAGAGUGCGGGAGGGGCAGGCGGAAUUCCUGGUGUAGCGGUGAAAUGCGUAGAUAUCAGGAGGAACACCAGCGGCGAAGGCGGCCUGCUGGACUGCGACUGACGUUGAGGCUCGAAAGCGUGGGGAGCGAACAGGAUUAGAUACCCUAGUAGUC
RNAcentral lists this ribosomal RNA (441 nucleotides) under uncultured bacterium. Its description in RNAcentral is "partial 16S ribosomal RNA". It matches the Rfam family "Bacterial small subunit ribosomal RNA", at positions 338 to 795 of the family's 1533-position model. The record is from RNAcentral.